GGAAGGUUAGCUCAGUUGGGAGAGCAUCUGCCUUACAAGCAGAGGGUCACAGGUUCGAGCCCUGUACUUUCCACCA
Molecule: transfer RNA, 76 nt
Filed under: Clostridia bacterium
Lineage: Bacteria; Bacillati; Bacillota; Clostridia
Also listed under: 1 other name
Description: tRNA-Val
Rfam family: tRNA
About the family: Transfer RNA (tRNA) molecules are approximately 80 nucleotides in length. Their secondary structure includes four short double-helical elements and three loops (D, anti-codon, and T loops). Further hydrogen bonds mediate the characteristic L-shaped molecular structure. tRNAs have two regions of fundamental functional importance: the anti-codon, which is responsible for specific mRNA codon recognition, and the 3' end, to which the tRNAs corresponding amino acid is attached (by aminoacyl-tRNA synthetases). tRNAs cope with the degeneracy of the genetic code in two manners: having more than one tRNA (with a specific anti-codon) for a particular amino acid; and 'wobble' base-pairing, i.e. permitting non-standard base-pairing at the 3rd anti-codon position.
Source: RNAcentral